Molecule: long non-coding RNA, 1744 nt
Organism: Cyprinus carpio (common carp)
Lineage: Eukaryota; Metazoa; Chordata; Actinopteri; Cypriniformes; Cyprinidae
Exons: 5
Source: RefSeq, a predicted model, not a curated record
AUUACUCAGUACAAAAACAAACAUAAGGGCUCAUUCUAAGCCAUUUAUAGCUGAAUAUGCUUUCGUCUUGUCUUAGCCUUGUUUGCUGCUCUUUCAUUUCAUUCUUUGUCAUUUAUGUGAAAUUAUUGUACCGCAACUAAACAAUUUUGCAUUAUGGAUUUAAAUUUUUUAUCUGUUGAACAGCAAACAUAAACGAAAAUAAGUAAUAAACUCAUUAUUUUCAUUAAUUUUACAAAGUAAACAAUUUGUUUGCAUUUGCGCGAGCAUAUUCACGCAGCGCUGUCUCGCGAGUGCAGUGCACGUUUUUGAAUUCCAACGGUCGAGAAGAGACUGAUCCCCGUCUGCUGAUUUAAAUUGAUGGUCUGACGGAAAUAUUGUUGUGCGGAUUUACACUAAAACACGAAAGAGCCUGAACCGCGACAGUGUCACAAGUUGCCUUACAUCGCUGCUGCAUGAAGUGAAGAUGCAGUUUGGGAAGGACCUUCAUCUUAAUCUAGAGACUGCUCUUAAAUGUGGCUAGACAUGGAAGUCAGAGGGAUGUGCUGAACAGUUUACUUCAGCAAAUUGACACAAACACAAAAAAUUUGGAGAAAAAUGCCGCACUGCUAAUCUUACCAUCUUUAUUCAGAGAAAACAGCAAGUUUCUCUUCUGUCUGGACAAUGAAUCAGUAAAGCCAACUCCGACUAUAGUUUUUCAUGAAGCUUCAAACCCCCUCCAUGCAAAAAGAGCCAGCAUCAAUAUGGAGGGUGUCAACAUUGUGAGCGCAGAAAUGGAUGUGAUGGAGGCAAUGGAGUGCCUCUUUGCUAUUUCGUAUUCAGUGUGGAAUACCCCAAGCACAUCACUCACAUGAUGAAUUUUGUUGAGCACUACCUGUUUAAACUCUCCAGCAGCCAAAAAAAAAAAAAAACUGUCUGUCGCAGUGCUCAAAAUGUAUAAUCAAUUAUCAUAAUACUUAGAUAUGUCAUGAAUAGUGCUAAUGUAAAUUUGUAAAUAUGAGGCGAUUGGUGUUAUUCUGAAAUGCUGAUCUGAAUUUGAAUCUGUAAUUACAAUUCUUUAUGAGUGAUAUUAAUGUAAAUUUGUAGAUUUGAAGUACUUGAUGUUCUGAAAUGCUGAUCUGAAUUUUAAUCUAUGUAUUCACAUUCUUUAUGAGUGAUAUUAAUAUGAAUUUGUAGAUUUGAAAGUACUUCUAUAUCUGUAUAUUUCCAUUGUGAGUUAUAUUAAUAUGGAUUUGUAGUUUUGAGGGACUUGAUGUUGUUCUAACACUGAUGGGAAUUUAGAUGAAUCUGUAUAUUUGCAUUAUUUAUUAGUGAUAGAUUAAUGUAAUUUUUACAUUUUAUGGACUUACUUUGUAAUAUGUAGAUGUAGGUGAAACUAUUUUCAUUAUUUCUUGAGAUAUUUUUUAAAUGGUUGAUGUUUUAGUGUUGAUUUGUACAUUUAAAGCCUUGAAUACUUGAAAUUACAGUAGCAUUCUUUCAGUAAUAGUAAUUAUUUUGUUAAUAUAAAUAAAUUACUGAUUCUAUGUACUUUGGGUGUGCUUUUUUCAGUAUUCAUGGGUGACUUUUUUAUGUGAAUUACACUUUUACAUUUUAGGGUCUUGAUGUUUGUCAAUAAUAUGAAAUAUUUAAUCUGGAAAGGACAAAACAAAUGAUAAUGAAUGAACCCCUAAAAGGUUCCAUAUAGAACCUUUUUCCUGGUUACAAAGAACCCUAAAGGGUUCUUUUGAUUGAACCCUUAAAAAGGGUU